RNAcentral lists this antisense RNA (72 nucleotides) under Saccharothrix sp. ALI-22-I. RNAcentral describes it as "ASpks TB sRNA". It matches the Rfam family "ASpks TB sRNA". Lineage: Bacteria; Bacillati; Actinomycetota; Actinomycetes; Pseudonocardiales; Pseudonocardiaceae. The record is from Rfam by way of RNAcentral.
CUUCACCGAUCCCAACCACAGGGGUCGAUCCCGGCUACCGCCACCGUAAGUGGCCAGCAGCGCGUUCGCUUC